Molecule: ribosomal RNA, 440 nt
Filed under: uncultured bacterium
Lineage: Bacteria
Description: partial 16S ribosomal RNA
Rfam family: Bacterial small subunit ribosomal RNA
Source: RNAcentral
CCUACGGGUGGCAGCAGUGGGGAAUAUUGCACAAUGGGGGAAACCCUGAUGCAGCGACGCCGCGUGAGUGAUGAAGUUAUUCGUUACGUAAAGCUCUGUCAGCAGGGAAGAAAAUUACGGUACCUGAUCAACAAUCCCCGGCCAACUCCGUCCCAGCAGCCGCGGUCAUACGGAGGGGGCAAGCGUUAACCGGAUUUACUGGGGGUAAAGUGAGCGUAGACGGCAGUGCAAGUCUGGGGUGAAAGGCGGGGGCUCAACCCCGGGACUGCUUUGGAAACUGUACGGCUGGAGUGCAGGAGAGGUUAGUGGAAUUCCUGGUGUAGGGGUGAAAUGCGUAGAUAUUAGGAGGAACAUCAGUGGCGAAGGCGACUUACUGGACUGUAACUGACGUUGAGGCGCGAAAGCGUGGGGAGCAAACAGGAUUAGAUACCCCGGUAGUC